GCGCCGUUGGUGCAGGGGUAGCAUAGUUGCCUUCCAUUCAAUUGUGAGCAACUGGGAAGGGUUCGAGUCCCUUACGGCGCA
Molecule: non-coding RNA, 81 nt
Organism: Morchella snyderi
Lineage: Eukaryota; Fungi; Ascomycota; Pezizomycetes; Pezizales; Morchellaceae
Source: the annotation of a GenBank genome assembly